UACGUAGGGCGCAAGCGUUAUCCGGAAUUAUUGGGCGUAAAGAGCUCGUAGGCGGUUUGUCGCGUCUGCCGUGAAAGUCCGGGGCUCAACUCCGGAUCUGCGGUGGGUACGGGCAGACUAGAGUGAUGUAGGGGAGACUGGAAUUCCUGGUGUAGCGGUGAAAUGCGCAGAUAUCAGGAGGAACACCGAUGGCGAAGGCAGGUCUCUGGGCCGAUACUGACGCUGAGGAGCGAAAGCGUGGGGAGCGAACAGG
RNAcentral lists this ribosomal RNA (253 nucleotides) under uncultured bacterium. RNAcentral's name for it is "partial 16S ribosomal RNA". It matches the Rfam family "Bacterial small subunit ribosomal RNA", at positions 524 to 776 of the family's 1533-position model. The record is from RNAcentral.